Molecule: ribosomal RNA, 253 nt
Filed under: uncultured bacterium
Lineage: Bacteria
Description: partial 16S ribosomal RNA
Rfam family: Bacterial small subunit ribosomal RNA
Source: RNAcentral
UACGUAGGCAGCAAGCGUUGUUCGGAAUUACUGGGCGUAAAGAGUGUGUAGGCGGUGUUCCAAGUCUGGUGUGAAAUCUCCCGGCUUAACUGGGAGGGUGCAUUAGAAACUGGAAUGCUAGAGGAUGGGAGAGGCAAGCGGAAUUCCUGGUGUAGCGGUGAAAUGCGUAGAUAUCAGGAGGAACACCUGUGGUGUAGACAGCUUACUGGACCAUUUCUGACGCUGAGACACGAAAGCGUGGGUAGCAAACAGG